AAGUCGUAACAAGGUUUCCGUAGGUGAACCUGCGGAAGGAUCAUUACACAUUCGGGGCGCUUCGGCGCUCCUUAUACACCCACCCUCUGCCUACGUGUACCUCUAUAGCUUCCUCGGCGGGCUCGCCCGCCGCCAGGAACCCACGAAACCCCUUGCAUUAUACGCGAAAACUUCUGAUAACAAACCUAAAUUAUCACAACUUUCAACAAUGGAUCUCUUGGUUCUGGCAUCGAUGAAGAACGCAGCGAAAUGCGAUAAGUAGUGUGAAUUGCAGAAUUCAGUGAAUCAUCGAAUCUUUGAACGCACAUUGCGGCCAUAGGUAUUCCUUUGGCCAUGCCUGUUCGAGCGUCAUUUACACCCUCAAGCCUAGCUUGGUGUUGGGCGUCUGUCCCGCCGUUUUCGCGCGCGGACUCGCCUCAAAGUCAUUGGCGGCGGUCGUGCCGGCCCCCUCGCGCAGCACAUUUGCGCUUCUCGGAGGCCCGGCGGAUCCGCGCUCCAGCAAGACCUUUCACGACUUGACCUCGGAUCAGGUAGGGAUACCCGCUGAACUUAA
Molecule: small RNA, 553 nt
Filed under: uncultured Periconia
Lineage: Eukaryota; Fungi; Ascomycota; Sordariomycetes; Microascales; Halosphaeriaceae
Description: eukaryotic LSU rRNA
Rfam family: 5.8S ribosomal RNA (bases 198-351)
Source: RNAcentral